This 730-nucleotide ribosomal RNA is filed under the name uncultured bacterium. RNAcentral describes it as "bacterial SSU rRNA". It matches the Rfam family "Bacterial small subunit ribosomal RNA", at positions 771 to 1501 of the family's 1533-position model. The record is from RNAcentral.
AACAGGAUUAGAUACCCUGGUAGUCCACGCCGUAAACGAUGUCGACUUGGAGGUUGUGCCCUUGAGGCGUGGCUUCCGGAGCUAACGCGUUAAGUCGACCGCCUGGGGAGUACGGCCGCAAGGUUAAAACUCAAAUGAAUUGACGGGGGCCCGCACAAGCGGUGGAGCAUGUGGUUUAAUUCGAUGCAACGCGAAGAACCUUACCUACUCUUGACAUCCAGAGAACUUAGCAGAGAUGCUUUGGUGCCUUCGGGAACUCUGAGACAGGUGCUGCAUGGCUGUCGUCAGCUCGUGUUGUGAAAUGUUGGGUUAAGUCCCGCAACGAGCGCAACCCUUAUCCUUUGUUGCCAGCGGUUAGGCCGGGAACUCGAAGGAGACUGCCAGUGAUAAACUGGAGGAAGGUGGGGAUGACGUCAAGUCAUCAUGGCCCUUACGAGUAGGGCUACACACGUGCUACAAUGGCGCAUACAAAGAGAAGCGACCUCGCGAGAGCAAGCGGACCCCAUAAAGUGCGUCGUAGUCCGGAUUGGAGUCUGCAACUCGACUCCAUGAAGUCGGAAUCGCUAGUAAUCGUGGAUCAGAAUGCCACGGUGAAUACGUUCCCGGGCCUUGUACACACCGCCCGUCACACCAUGGGAGUGGGUUGCAAAAGAAGUAGGUAGCUUAACCUUCGGGAGGGCGCUUACCACUUUGUGAUUCAUGACUGGGGUGAAGUCGUAACAAGGUAACC